This 253-nucleotide ribosomal RNA is filed under the name uncultured bacterium. RNAcentral describes it as "partial 16S ribosomal RNA". It matches the Rfam family "Bacterial small subunit ribosomal RNA", at positions 524 to 776 of the family's 1533-position model. The record is from RNAcentral.
GACGAACCGAGCGAACGUUGUUCGGAAUCACUGGGCUUAAAGGGCGCGUAGGCGGGCCAUCAAGUCAGGGGUGAAAGCCCCCAGCUUAACUGGGGAAGUGCCUUUGAUACUGAUGGUCUCGAGGGAGAUAGGGGCGUGCGGAACUUCCGGUGGAGCGGUGAAAUGCGUAGAUAUCGGAAGGAACACCGAUGGCGAAAGCAGCGCGCUGGAUCUCUUCUGACGCUGAGGCGCGAAAGCCAGGGGAGCAAACGGG